GCUAUAGAAGAUAGAAUGGAAAUUACAACAAAAAAAUUCUAAUUCUAUUAGAAUACUAAAUAAACUCUAAUUAAACCUUAAAAAUGCUAAAUAAGCUUUAAUCAAAUUCAAAAGAAACCUUAAAGAAAUUACAAAAGAAACAUUAAGAAAUCUUAAAGAAAUUGAAAAAAAAUCCACAAUAAAUUUUAAAAGAGUCCUUAAGAAGUCCUAAAAAAUGUUAGAAUAAUCAAAAAUAUAUCUUAAAUAAAUCUCAACUAAGUUCUAAUUUAACCUUAGUUGAAAUUCUAAUGGACUUUAAUUAAAUCCUAGACAAAUCUUAAAUCCUAAACAAAAUCUUAGCCAAAUUCUAAAUCCUAUAUAAAUCUUAGAUAAAAUACUAGAUCCCACAUCAAAUCCUAAAUCCUAAACUAAACCUUAGAUCAAACUUUAGAUCCUAAACCAAACUCUAAAUAAAUCCUAAAUCCUAAAUCAAACCCUAAACCAAAUUCUAAUCCUAUUCAAACUAAUCCUAGUACAGUUUAGAACCUCAAUAACUAUCAAUUGAACCAUUGAUCUUGCUUAAAAAUUUAUACACCUUUCAAUAAUUAAGUUAAAAAAAAAGAACAUUAAAUUUGAAGAUAACUGCACUUAUCAAAUAGAAAAAGAAAUCCUAAAAUCUGCUCGAGUGUUGGCAAACCUUCUACUCCAAUUUAAAUGUUGAAUUCUUAGUGCAAAUAUCUCCUUAUUAAACUAUUUAACUGUCUUUAAAUUUCACAUAUGUGUAGGAAAUCAAGUCUAUUAUCUUCAAAUAUAAACUUUACUCUAAUCCAAUAAAUAAAUUGCUAAAGAUCUUAGAAAUCCUAAUUGCCUUUCAUAGUCCAAUUUCUG
RNAcentral lists this long non-coding RNA (867 nucleotides) under Physcomitrium patens. Its description in RNAcentral is "long non-coding RNA (PPAT_LNC001495)". The record is from RNAcentral. Lineage: Eukaryota; Viridiplantae; Streptophyta; Bryopsida; Funariales; Funariaceae.